GGGUGCGUAACGCGUAUACAAUCUACCCAUUACUAAGGGAUAGCCCAUGGAAACGUGGAUUAAUACCUUAUGGUAUUUAAGAAUCGCCUGAUUUUUAAAUUAAAGGUUACGGUAAUGGAUGAGUAUGCGUCCUAUUAGCUAUUAUGUAGGGUAACGGCCUACAUAGGCGAUGAUAGGUAGGGGUUCUGAGAGGGAGAUCCCCCACACUGGUACUGAGACACGGACCAGACUCCUACGGGAGGCAGCAGUGAGGAAUAUUGGACAAUGGGAGCAAUCCUGAUCCAGCCAUGCCGCGUGCAGGAAGACGGUCCUAUGGAUUGUAAACCGCUUUUAUACAGGAAGAAAAAGGAGUACGUGUACUCCAUUGACGGUACUGUAUGAAUAAGGAUCGGCUAACUCCGUGCCAGCAGCCGCGGUAAUACGGAGGAUCCGAGCGUUAUCCGGAAUUAUUGGGUUUAAAGGGUCCGUAGGCGGGAUAAUAAGUCAGUGGUGAAAGUUUGUGGCUCAACCAUAAAAUUGCCAUUGAUACUGUUAUUCUUGAGUUAUUGUGAAGUGGUUAGAAUGUGUAGUGUAGCGGUGAAAUGCAUAGAUAUUACACAGAAUACCAAUUGCGAAGGCAGAUCACUAACAAUGAACUGACGCUGAUGGACGAAAGCGUAGGUAGCGAACAGGAUUAGAUACCCUGGUAGUCUACGCAGUAAACGAUGGUUACUAGCUGUUUGGCAUAAUUGAGUGCUGAGUGGUUAAGCGAAAGUGAUAAGUAACCCACCUGGGGAGUACGUUCGCAAGAAUGAAACUCAAAGGAAUUGACGGGGGCCCGCGCAAGCGGUGGAGCAUGUGGUUUAAUUCGAUGAUACGCGAGGAACCUUACCAGGGCUUAAAUGCAGUCUGACAGGGGUGGAAACACCUUUUUCUUCGGACAGAUUGCAAGGUGCUGCAUGGUUGUCGUCAGCUCGUGCCGUGAGGUGUCAGGUUAAGUCCUAUAUCGAGCGCAACCCCUAUGGUUAGUUGCUAGCAGGUAAUGCUGAGAACUCUAGCCAGACUGCCGGUGUAAACCGCGAGGAAGGUGGGGAUGACGUCAAAUCAUCACGUCC
RNAcentral lists this ribosomal RNA (1094 nucleotides) under uncultured organism. RNAcentral describes it as "bacterial SSU rRNA". It matches the Rfam family "Bacterial small subunit ribosomal RNA", at positions 104 to 1200 of the family's 1533-position model. The record is from RNAcentral.